This 1573-nucleotide long non-coding RNA is filed under the name Haliotis rubra (blacklip abalone). Its description in RNAcentral is "uncharacterized LOC124292545". Lineage: Eukaryota; Metazoa; Mollusca; Gastropoda; Lepetellida; Haliotidae. The record is from RNAcentral.
AUAGAGACAUGUAUAUUGAGAAAGGGGUGGGUAUGGAGACAUGUACAUUGAGAAAGGGGUGGGUGUUGAGACAUGUACAUUGAGAAAGGUGUUGUUGUAAACAGUUGAGUGGGCAUAGUGAGAAAGGGCUUGGUAUACAGAGAAAGGGGAGCUAUAUAGAGAAUAGUGUGGGUCUACAUGGGAUGGGAAAGGGUGUAGGGGAGUACAGGGAGGUGGCGGUGUUAUUUAGAAGUGCCAUCAGCAUUAUACAGGAUGUCCCAGUCUAGGGAACAUCCAUCAUGUCAACUGGAGAACAAGUUGUUCUGGACACUGUGAUGCUAAUAUUGUGAUCAGGAGUGAGAUGAACUUGGUUUAUGGGCAAUAACUGUUUGAGAGAAAUCAGUUUUUCUUCUGAAGUUUUAGAAAAGUCUUUUCGUCCUGUAUUUUUUUAAAAUUCAAAUGACAGUUUUGAAAUUUAGAUGAUCUGACCAUGAAGAAGGCUGCAUAUGACAUAGCUAUUGCAUGGAUUUCCGGAGUUGUCUGUUCCAGGCCAAGAGGGUGGAGUGACAACCAACUGACCAGGUUGUCAGGAGUUACUCCACCCAAGAUGUCUGGCACAGGAACAAAGGGGAAGUAUGCAAUGGUGGAAUAAUCAAUCAUAAUCUAUGUCGGCCAUGGACAUUCUCCAAGAUAUACUGCUCACAGGCAUGGUAAUCAUUACUUGCAGAAAGAUCAAAAGGAAAUGGUGCAAUCACUUUGUGAUCGUUAGUAAACCUUGUACAUCAAGUCUGAAUACUCUGUACAUAAAUGUAUUGUUGUUGUUUUUAUUCUACAUAUAUUUUUCAAACCAUAAGAGCAGCAUUAUAAGAUCGCUGCAAGCAUUUCUGUGAUAUGGGGCUACCAUGAACAAUGGCAGUGGUCAGUUGCAACCAUAUAUGUUCUGCCAGAUUUAAUUUGUAUAAGGCAAAACAAGACUUUGUUGUAGAUUCUUUCUGAAACUGCAUUUUGCCAUCCUUAAAUGUAAGUUCAUAUCAAAAGUUUGUGGUUCUCUUGUUAUUAUUUGUCUUAUAAAGAAGGUCUUCUGUAUAUUCUGUUCCACUACAAGGCAGCCUCUGAAAAACUGGUUGUAACAAGAACAUCAUAAUGUAUCCAUAAAGUCUAUUGUUUCACAACAACCUAAAGGAUGAUGACGUCUUUCAUAGCUCUCUGUUUUUGAUAUAUCAGCUGACCUAUCCAUCUGUCUGUGUUGCUAACUUUAUUUCAAGGUAACUGAUAGCCUGUGGCUACAUCGUCUGUGUGUCAGAGCUCCUGUAUAAGAAUCCAUUACUAUUACUUGCAGUAUUACAUGUAUUUACAUACAUUCUUGUGUGCCAGCUCCAUCAGACCAUACUCAGGACCUGUACUCCUGAAUGGAAUCAGUUGAAUGAGCUGAAUUGAAUUGAACUUUUGAUAACCUGUCAUCAUAAAGUCAUUCAGUGGCAUAUUUGUCUUAAAACGUUUUCAGCCAUGAUCAUAUUUCUGUAAAAACGUUUUAUGAAACUAGUUUGAUUUCUUUUUUAUAUUAUUUUAAUAUCAAUAAACAUUUCAACAUGUC